Molecule: ribosomal RNA, 775 nt
Filed under: Microneta viaria
Lineage: Eukaryota; Metazoa; Arthropoda; Arachnida; Araneae; Linyphiidae
Description: SSU rRNA
Rfam family: Eukaryotic small subunit ribosomal RNA
Source: RNAcentral
GAGGUUCGAAGGCGAUCAGAUACCGCCCUAGUUCUAACCAUAAACGAUGCCAGCCAGCGAUCCGGCUGUGUUCCUCAAAUGACACGCCGGGCAGCUUCCGGGAAACCAAAGCUUUUGGGUUCCGGGGGAAGUAUGGUUGCAAAGCUGAAACUUAAAGGAAUUGACGGAGGGCUACCACCAGACGUGGAGCUUGCGGUUCAAUUUGACUCAACGCAGCGAACCCUACCAGGCCAGGACACAGGAAGGAUUGACAGAUUAAGAGCUCUUUCUUGAUUUUGUGGGUAGUGGUGCAUGGCCGCUCUUGGUUCGUGAAGUGAUUUGUCUGGUUAAUUCUGAUAACGGACGAGGCUCUAGCCUACUAAAUAGACGCUCGGAUCAUUCCUAGUCCGGCGUUUCUUCUUAGAGGGACUGGUGGCGUUUAGCCGCACGAGGAAGAGCAAUAGCAGGUCUGUAAUGCCCUUAGAUGUCCUGGGCCACACGCGUGCUACAUUGAAGGAAUCAUCGUGUGCUUUCCCUUUCCGACAGGAAUGGGUAACCCGUUGAACCUCCUUCGUGCUGGGGAUAGGGGAUUGCAAUUAUCCCCCUUGAACGAGGAACGCCUAGUAAGCGCGAGUCAUCAUCUCGCGUUGAUUAGGUCCCUGGCCCUUGUCCACACCGCCCGUCGCUAUUACCGAUUGAAUGUCUUAGUGAGGACUUCGGAUUGGCUGUCGAUUUGGCCUUAGGGUCGAGCCGACGUGCCGAAAAGAUGUCCGAACUUGGUCAUUUAGAGGAAAUA